GCUGCUGCCUCCGCUGGGGUUUCCUCUGAAUCUGUGGGCUCCUCUCCACAGCACAUGUGCACAGGCCUUCUCUGUCUCUCUCUGGGGGCCGUGGAAGGCCAGUGGUGACCCUUUUGAGCCCGGCUCUUUUCUGCUGCUUUGGCUGGCAUAGACGGCCUCUAUCCCAGAUGAGAAAACAGAAUCUCAGAGAAGGUAACUCGUGAUCUACGUGAUGGCAAGACUGAGGCAGACGGGCACCUUUGAAGACCUGCCAGGGGAAAGCAGUCGAGGAGGGGGAAUGUCUCCAGAACCUGGAACUUCCGAUUCUUCAGGGUGACAGAACCAGAUCUUGGGAAGAAGGACAUGCCUCAUGAUGGAAUCUGAUCUCUAGCAUGUUCUACUUUACUGAAGAAAAUAUACUGCUAAUAAUUUAACUGCACUUCGAUUAUCAGGAUAAGUUGUGCAAUAAAAUAUGCAGAUAGAAUGGAAACUUCAUAAGUGACAAAUGAUAAAUGAUAUAAAGCAGUGGAUAAUUUUACUUAGCUUCGAUUUUAAUGUUUAUCAAAUGAACGAAGCAAUGUAUUUAUAUGCAGAAAGCCACAUUAUCAUAAAUAUAUUUGCUAAAACAGGAAGAAUAAAUUGCGGUUA
Molecule: non-coding RNA, 627 nt
Organism: Ictidomys tridecemlineatus (thirteen-lined ground squirrel)
Lineage: Eukaryota; Metazoa; Chordata; Mammalia; Rodentia; Sciuridae
Source: RefSeq, a predicted model, not a curated record